GGAUGUGAGGGCAAUCUGGCUGCGACAUCUGUCACCCCAUUGAUCGGUUGAUUCGGCUGAUCUGGCUGGCUAGGCAGGUGUCCCCUUCCUCCCUAACCGCUCCAUGUGCGUCCCUCCCGAAGCUGCGCGCUCGGUGGAAGAGGACGACGUCCCAGGUAUAGAAGGAGUGUACCAAGGUCUCCAGUCUUCGGCCCCGGGUAUACGAUAGCUGCGCUCCCCUGCUAGAACCUCCAAACAAGGUCAUUCUUUCACCUUUCUGCUGCCCCAUGUCUGUCCCCUCUGGAGAACAGCUAUUGGACAAAGGCAGUCACU
RNAcentral lists this small nuclear RNA (312 nucleotides) under Anolis carolinensis (green anole). RNAcentral describes it as "7SK RNA". It matches the Rfam family "7SK RNA", at positions 1 to 280 of the family's 331-position model. From Rfam's summary of the family: 7SK was discovered as an abundant small nuclear RNA in the mid-70s but a possible function has only recently been suggested. Lineage: Eukaryota; Metazoa; Chordata; Lepidosauria; Squamata; Anolidae. The record is from Rfam by way of RNAcentral.